Long non-coding RNA from Alosa alosa (allis shad), 283 nucleotides. RefSeq lists it as uncharacterized. The record is from RefSeq and is a predicted model, not a curated record. NCBI's taxonomy places the organism in Eukaryota, Metazoa, Chordata, Actinopteri, Clupeiformes, Clupeidae. The transcript is spliced from 3 exons.
CUUGUGCAAAAUUUCUUCGCGCGCUCGAGGACGACAGGAUUAAGGAAACAUAUCCUGACCUUGCCAAAUGGUUGGUGUCGUCCCUAUCAGAUGGAAGUAGGCCUUCAACAGAUGUCUCAGCAGACUUUGAUAGCCUGAUACCAGACAAAAAGACAUUUUUAGAGAAGAAUCGCGGUUCUCUUAUUAAGUCAGUGGAAAAACCUCAUACCCAUUCUAGACCAUCUGAAGGAGGAGGGUUUUCACUCUGAAAUGAUCUCUGAAGUGGAAGCAGAGAGGACUAAGG